RNAcentral lists this ribosomal RNA (381 nucleotides) under uncultured Flavobacteriaceae bacterium. Its description in RNAcentral is "bacterial SSU rRNA". It matches the Rfam family "Bacterial small subunit ribosomal RNA", at positions 1 to 391 of the family's 1533-position model. Lineage: Bacteria; Pseudomonadati; Bacteroidota; Flavobacteriia; Flavobacteriales; Flavobacteriaceae. The record is from RNAcentral.
CGCUGAGUUUGAUCCUGGCUCAGGAUGAACGCUAGCGGCAGGCUUAACACAUGCAAGUCGAGGGGUAUAGUUCUUCGGAACUAGAGACCGGCGCACGGGUGCGUAACGCGUAUGCAAUCUACCUUUUACAGGGGGAUAGCCCAGAGAAAUUUGGAUUAAUACCCCAUAGUAUGUUGAAGUGGCAUCAUUUUAACAUUAAAGUUCCAACGGUAAAAGAUGAGCAUGCGUCCCAUUAGCUAGAUGGUAAGGUAACGGCUUACCAUGGCUACGAUGGGUAGGGGUCCUGAGAGGGAGAUCCCCACACUGGUACUGAGACACGGACCAGACUCCGUACGGGAGCAGCAGUGAGAAUAUUGGUCAAUGGGCGCAAGCCUGAACCAG